UACAUGGGGUGCAAACGUUGCUCGGAAUUAUUGGGCGUAAAGCGCACGUAGGCGGUUUGUUAAGUCGGAUGUGAAAUCCCUCGGCUCAACUGAGGAAGUGCAUCCGAAACUGGCAAGCUUGAGUACGAAAGAGGGUCGCGGAAUUCCCGGUGUAGAGGUGAAAUUCGUAGAUAUCGGGAGGAACACCAGUGGCGAAGGCGGCUCACUGGCCCAUUACUGACGCUGAGGCACGAAAGCGUGGGGAGCAAACAGGG
This 254-nucleotide ribosomal RNA is filed under the name uncultured bacterium. Its description in RNAcentral is "partial 16S ribosomal RNA". It matches the Rfam family "Bacterial small subunit ribosomal RNA", at positions 524 to 777 of the family's 1533-position model. The record is from RNAcentral.